GCGCACCAGUCGAGAAUAUUAUACAAUGCACGAAAGUGUGAUAUGGCGAUUCAGAGUGUCAUUCUCACGGAUGACUGUUGCACAGUGUAAACAGCUGUGUUAGAAAGGAGAGGGCAAGGAUGGUGCCAGCAGCCGCGGUAAAACCAUCUCUCCGAAGGGACUGCUUUUUAUAGGCCUAAAGCGUGCGCAGCCGGCUCGGGGUAGUCUUUGGUGAAAGCUAGUCGCUCAACGAUUAGAGUUGCUGAAGAAACCACCGAGCUUGGGAUAGGAAGAGAGAAGUGGUACUACGUGGGGAAGCGGUGAAAUGCGUAGAUCCUAGUGGGACCAUCUGUGGCGAAGGCGUACUUCUUAGUACUAGUCCGACGGUCAUGCACGAAAGCCAGGGUAGCAAAGCGGAUUAGAUACCCCUGUA
RNAcentral lists this ribosomal RNA (412 nucleotides) under uncultured microorganism. Its description in RNAcentral is "bacterial SSU rRNA". It matches the Rfam family "Archaeal small subunit ribosomal RNA", at positions 330 to 743 of the family's 1478-position model. The record is from RNAcentral.